UACGGGGGGGGCAAGCGUUGUUCGGAAUUACUGGGCGUAAAGGGCUCGUAGGCGGCCAACUAAGUCGGACGUGAAAUCCCCAGGCUCAACCUGGGAACUGCGUCCGAUACCGGAUGGCUUGAAUCCGGGAGAGGGAUGCAGAAUUCCAGGUGUAGCGGUGAAAUGCGUAGAUAUCUGGAGGAAUACCGGUGGCGAAGGCGGCAUCCUGGACCGGCAUUGACGCUGAGGAGCGAAAGCCAGGGGAGCAAACGGG
This 253-nucleotide ribosomal RNA is filed under the name uncultured bacterium. RNAcentral's name for it is "partial 16S ribosomal RNA". It matches the Rfam family "Bacterial small subunit ribosomal RNA", at positions 524 to 776 of the family's 1533-position model. The record is from RNAcentral.